RNAcentral lists this ribosomal RNA (207 nucleotides) under uncultured bacterium. RNAcentral's name for it is "partial 16S ribosomal RNA". It matches the Rfam family "Bacterial small subunit ribosomal RNA", at positions 568 to 774 of the family's 1533-position model. The record is from RNAcentral.
CACGUAGGCGGUUUCGUAAGUCGGAUGUGAAAGCCCUAGGCUUAACCAAGGAAGCGCAUUCGAAACUGUGGGACUUGAGUACGGGAGAGGGCUGUGGAAUUCCCGGUGUAGAGGUGAAAUUCGUAGAUAUCGGGAGGAACACCAGUGGCGAAGGCGACAGCCUGGACCGAUACUGACGCUGAGGUGCGAAAGCGUGGGGAGCAAACA